Camelus ferus (Wild Bactrian camel) is the source of this 72-nucleotide transfer RNA. It matches the Rfam family "tRNA". Rfam says of the family: Transfer RNA (tRNA) molecules are approximately 80 nucleotides in length. Their secondary structure includes four short double-helical elements and three loops (D, anti-codon, and T loops). Lineage: Eukaryota; Metazoa; Chordata; Mammalia; Artiodactyla; Camelidae. The record is from Rfam.
GAGGGUAGAGCUCAGUGGUAGAGCACGUACUUAGCACGCACGGGGUCCUGGUUUCAAUCCCUGGUACCUCCA